Small nucleolar RNA from Acomys russatus (golden spiny mouse), 132 nucleotides. RefSeq annotates it as small nucleolar RNA SNORA17. The transcript has a single exon. NCBI's taxonomy places the organism in Eukaryota, Metazoa, Chordata, Mammalia, Rodentia, Muridae. The record is from RefSeq and is a predicted model, not a curated record.
CUUGCUUCUAGAGGCAUUACAGUCAUGGCUGCUGUGUCACAUGUGUGUCAGUAGGUAGCAGAGAAGAGAUGGGCUCUGUCCACACUCAGUGUUCUGACCUAUGAACAUCUGACUGAUUAGUAGCCUAACAUU